UUAAUUGAAGAGUUUGAUCAUGGCUCAGAUUGAACGCUGGCGGCAGGCCUAACACAUGCAAGUCGAACGGUAGCACAGGGAGCUUGCUCUCGGGUGACGAGUGGCGGACGGGUGAGUAA
This 119-nucleotide ribosomal RNA is filed under the name Candidatus Erwinia dacicola. RNAcentral's name for it is "partial 16S ribosomal RNA". It matches the Rfam family "Bacterial small subunit ribosomal RNA", at positions 1 to 113 of the family's 1533-position model. Lineage: Bacteria; Pseudomonadati; Pseudomonadota; Gammaproteobacteria; Enterobacterales; Erwiniaceae. The record is from RNAcentral.